UUACACCUCUCAACUUCUAGCAUUUAAUAAAUGACCAAAAUGCCCAAGGGCAGACAGAAGACUCGAAUUAAAGAUAAAAGUUAAAGUCAGCAGAAAUAAAUUAUUCAAAACAUAAGACAUUAUUUUGAACUAAAUAGCUAUAAACACGUGGGGAAACAAAAUUAAUAAAUCAAGUCCAACAUUAAGUCAUAAGUAAAGUCUCAAGUCUAAACGCCAAAAAAAUAACAUAAGCGCUCAUCCUUUGCCAAUCACUCACUCAGGGUCCUUUGACAUGGUUGACAACCGUUGCAGUUCUUCCAAUAUGCCUCUGCUCUGGGAUCUCUGGUAUGACCUGAUGAGUGGCUCGGGGUUAGUCUUUCGUGCUCAAACAUUAGUAUUCGGGUUCCAAGGAUUCGACAGACUUAAAAUGUAGAUUGUUAUAACGCCUUAAUCAUUCUAAUUAUAAGAGAAAAAGAAGUUCAUUAAUUCAAUUAGUGACAAAGGAGUUUUAUGAACUAACACUUAUUGAAUUCUAAUUAUAACUUCCUAACCUAUAUAAUUUCUUAUCACCUAUAAUAUUAUGAGUAAGAAAACAAUCCUAACAUUAUUUUGAAAGAUUAUAACCAUCCUAACCCGAUUAGAGUUGAUUCUAGUAUUUGAGGAGCUAUGGAAGUCAUUGUGGGUGCAAUAUGUCAUGACUGGAAAGUUACAUGAUGCGGAAGCAACAAGGAAUUAAUUUGGUGGCUGAAUUGUUUAGUUCUAAAAGUGUGGUACUGAUCCGUACGUGACUAAUAAUAACAGACUGAGAUGCGAAUGAUCUAAAGUUCAGUUAUUGAUUAUUAAAUCUUAAGACAUGGGGUAUUGAUUCAGACAAAUUCUAAAUCGAACAAGAAAUGGUCGAACCAAACUGUGUCGCUCCAGAUUCGGUCCAACCAGUGCCAUCAACCCAGACAUAAUAAUACGCCGGACACCUCGUUCCAGAUUCCGGCGGAGAUUUUCUAGACUCUGGCGAGGAUCAGAACACGAGUAGAACUUGUCUAUAAUCGACAAAACUCGACGGAAUCGAUCCUUAGCCUUAUUCCGAAGCUAUCCAGACGAGUCAGAGGGCAUGGGUCGUCCUUAAGGCUACGGACCGGUCGAUCGACGGAACGUUGCUGCCGCCGCGAGAUUGAAAUAUGAAAAAAUCCAUCCAGAGAGGAAGCUCAAUGACUAGUUUCGUUAGGCUUAGAUGAAGGGUGGAGGAACAAACUCCCUAUCCUUAAUAAAGAGUCAACACUGUUUGGAGGUUGGAAUCGACGAACGAAGAGCGUUCGCCACGAACAGAGACGUCAACGUUAGAGGAAUCUUCCUCCUGUAUAUUGACAAAGAACGAAGAGAUUCGAUCAACGUGACAGAAUGAUUCGAUCAAGCCGUGAAUUCAAAGGGAAGGACAGAAAGGAAUGGUUACCAUCACCGUCUACAAGGUUCCUGGAAGUUCGAACAUCCGCAGGAUUCUAUUGAAUUGUAGAGACCCAUUUGAUUUCGUUUUAGCGAGAGACGGAAAGGGGAUGAGUUGUUUGGUCGCCGAAUUGUUGCGCCGGGAAAGGAAAGAGGAAUUCCUGGAUCAGAGGUAGGAGACGAUGACAUCAUCCCUGACGUCAUCCGGUGCGUGCCACUCUCUCCCGAACAGAAAGGAGGAAAAAAUAAAAAUAAGGCAAAGAAAC
RNAcentral lists this long non-coding RNA (1682 nucleotides) under Linum usitatissimum (flax). RNAcentral describes it as "long non-coding RNA (LUSI_LNC005647)". The record is from RNAcentral. Lineage: Eukaryota; Viridiplantae; Streptophyta; Magnoliopsida; Malpighiales; Linaceae.